GGAGAGGUGGCAGAGCGGUUGAAUGCACCGGUCUUGAAAACCGGCAGGGGCGCAAGUCCCUCGUGAGUUCAAAUCUCACCCUCUCCGCCA
This 90-nucleotide transfer RNA is filed under the name Candidatus Omnitrophota bacterium. RNAcentral describes it as "Candidatus Omnitrophica bacterium tRNA-Ser". It matches the Rfam family "tRNA". Rfam says of the family: Transfer RNA (tRNA) molecules are approximately 80 nucleotides in length. Lineage: Bacteria; Pseudomonadati; Candidatus Omnitrophota. The record is from RNAcentral.